UCUCGCAUCGAUGAAGAACGUAGCGAAAUGCGAUACUUGGUGUGAAUUGCAGAAUCCCGUGAACCAUCGAGUCUUUGAACGCAAGUUGCGCCCGAAGCCGUUAGGCCGAGGGCACGUCUGCCUGGGCGUCA
This 131-nucleotide ribosomal RNA is filed under the name Ipomoea nil (Japanese morning glory). RNAcentral describes it as "5.8S ribosomal RNA". It matches the Rfam family "5.8S ribosomal RNA", at positions 26 to 154 of the family's 154-position model. From Rfam's summary of the family: 5.8S ribosomal RNA (5.8S rRNA) is a component of the large subunit of the eukaryotic ribosome. It is transcribed by RNA polymerase I as part of the 45S precursor that also contains 18S and 28S rRNA. Lineage: Eukaryota; Viridiplantae; Streptophyta; Magnoliopsida; Solanales; Convolvulaceae. The record is from Rfam by way of RNAcentral.